AUGUAUAUGCUAUGCUGGAAUUAUUAUGAGUUGGGCGACCCUGCAACAGCUCAAGAACUGCGCGAGUGUGCCUCGACGGUGUUGUGCGUGGUGGAAACACAAAUUGCUAAGUACCGUGUGGAAAAUCUGCCAGGUUCAUUAGGAUAUGAUCAUGCUUAUGUAGUUUGUACUAGUGGAAGAAGUGGAGGCUUGGGCAUCUUUUGGAAGAAUUCAGUGCAACUCAGCAUGAGGAACUUCUCAUAGUAUCACAUUGAUAUGAAGGUUACUAGCUAA
This 273-nucleotide ribosomal RNA is filed under the name Triticum aestivum (bread wheat). Its description in RNAcentral is "partial small subunit ribosomal RNA". Lineage: Eukaryota; Viridiplantae; Streptophyta; Magnoliopsida; Poales; Poaceae. The record is from RNAcentral.